GCUGGGCACAGUGGCUCAUGCCUGUAAUCCCAGCACUUGGGAGGCUGAGGUGGGUGGAUCACCUGAGGUCAGGAGUUCGAGACCAGCCUGGCCAACAUGGUGAAAUCCCAUCUCUA
Molecule: small RNA, 116 nt
Filed under: Papio anubis (olive baboon)
Lineage: Eukaryota; Metazoa; Chordata; Mammalia; Primates; Cercopithecidae
Description: Metazoan signal recognition particle RNA (ENSPANG00000047477.1)
Source: Rfam by way of RNAcentral